GAUGAACGCUGGCGGCGUGCUUAACGCAUGCAAGUCGAACGGAAAGGCCCAAGCUUGCUUGGGUACUCGAGUGGCGAACGGGUGAGUAACACGUGGGUGAUCUGCCCUGCACUUCGGGAUAAGCCUGGGAAACUGGGUCUAAUACCGGAUAGGACCACAUUUUGGAUGGUGUGGUGGAAAGUUUUUCGGUGUGGGAUGAGCUCGCGGCCUAUCAGCUUGUUGGUGGGGUAAUGGCCUACCAAGGCGUCGACGGGUAGCCGGCCUGAGAGGGUGUACGGCCACAUUGGGACUGAGAUACGGCCCAGCCUCCUACGGGAGGCAGCAGUGGGGAAUAUUGCACAAUGGGCGCAAGCCUGAUGCAGCGACGCCGCGUGGGGGAUGACGGCCUUCGGGUUGUAAACUCCUUUCGCUAGGGACGAAGCGUUAUGUGACGGUACCUGGAGAAGAAGCACCGGCUAACUACGUG
This 466-nucleotide ribosomal RNA is filed under the name uncultured bacterium. Its description in RNAcentral is "partial 16S ribosomal RNA". It matches the Rfam family "Bacterial small subunit ribosomal RNA", at positions 28 to 507 of the family's 1533-position model. The record is from RNAcentral.